CCUACGGGUGGCAGCAGUGAGGAAUAUUGGUCAAUGGACGAGCGUCUGAACCAGCCAAGUAGCGUGAAGGAUGACUGCCCUAUGGGUUGUAAACUUCUUUUAUAUGGGAAUAAAAUGUUCCACGUGUGGGAUUUUGUAUGUACCAUAUGAAUAAGGAUCGGCUAACUCCGUGCCAGCAGCCGCGGUAAUACGGAGGAUCCGAGCGUUAUCCGGAUUUAUUGGGUUUAAAGGGAGCGUAGGUGGAUUGUUAAGUCAGUUGUGAAAGUUUGCGGCUCAAACGUAAAAUUGCAGUUGAAACUGGCAGUCUUGCGUACAGUAGAGGUGGGCGGAAUUCGUGGUGUAGCGGUGAAAUGCUUAGAUAUCACGAAGAACUCCGAUUGCGAAGGCAGUUCACUGGACUGCAACUGACACUGAGGCUCGAAAGUGUGGGUAUCAAACAGGAUUAGAUACCCUAGUAGUC
RNAcentral lists this ribosomal RNA (460 nucleotides) under uncultured bacterium. RNAcentral describes it as "partial 16S ribosomal RNA". It matches the Rfam family "Bacterial small subunit ribosomal RNA", at positions 338 to 795 of the family's 1533-position model. The record is from RNAcentral.